UAAUUUUUCUGUAAGUGAUUUAUCUUCUUACAACGUUGGCAAGGAGGAAAAUCUCCAGUUUUCUUGUUGUUGUUAUUACCAUCACCUUUGUUAUUUUUUUGUUCUUCUUCUUGCCUUUGUCACCUUUUUGGAUUUGCAUUUUAGCUUGGAAAGCUCUUUCCAGCGAACCUUCUUGCUUCAUUUGUUUUCUUUGUUUUUGAGCCUGUAGAGCAUUUAACAAUUCUGUCAAGGUAAUUUUUGACAGACUUCUUGAGUUUUUUAUAGAGGUAAUUACAGCUUUAAAUUUCUCAAGGGUUG
Molecule: long non-coding RNA, 297 nt
Filed under: Carica papaya (papaya)
Lineage: Eukaryota; Viridiplantae; Streptophyta; Magnoliopsida; Brassicales; Caricaceae
Description: long non-coding RNA (CPAP_LNC007335)
Source: RNAcentral